ACGAACGCCGGCGGCGUGCUUAACACAUGCAAGUCGAGCGGUAAGGCCCUUUCGGGGGUACGACGAGCGGCGAACGGGUGAGUAACACGUGGGUGACCUGCCCUCAGCUCUGGGAUAAGCCUGGGAAACCGGGUCUAAUACCGGAUAUGACUCCAUGACGCAUGUUGUGGGGUGGAAAGCCUUGUGCGGCUGAGGAUGGGCCCGCGGCCUAUCAGCUUGUUGGUGGGGUGAUGGCCUACCAAGGCGACGACGGGUAGCCGGCCUGAGAGGGCGACCGGCCACACUGGGACUGAGACACGGCCCAGACUCCUACGGGAGGCAGCAGUGGGGAAUCUUGCGCAAUGGGCGAAAGCCUGACGCAGCGACGCCGCGUGAGGGAUGACGGCCUCGGUUG
RNAcentral lists this ribosomal RNA (394 nucleotides) under uncultured bacterium. RNAcentral describes it as "bacterial SSU rRNA". It matches the Rfam family "Bacterial small subunit ribosomal RNA", at positions 29 to 425 of the family's 1533-position model. The record is from RNAcentral.